GAAUUUUGGACAAUGGGGGCAACCCUGAUCCAGCCAUGCCGCGUGCGGGAAGAAGGCCUUCGGGUUGUAAACCGCUUUUAGCCGGAAAGAAAAGGCGCAGGCCAAUACCCUGCGUUCUUGACGGUACCGGCGGAAUAAGCACCGGCUAACUACGUGCCAGCAGCCGCGGUAAUACGUAGGGUGCGAGCGUUAAUCGGAAUUACUGGGCGUAAAGCGUGCGUAGGCGGUCCGCUGUGUCCCGUGUGAAAGCCCCGGGCUCAACCUGGGAAUUGCAUGGGAAACUGGCGGGCUUGAGUGCGGCAGAGGGGGGUGGAAUUCCGCGUGUAGCAGUGAAAUGCGUAGAGAUGCGGAGGAACACCGAUGGCGAAGGCAGCCCCCUGGGCCGACACUGACGCUCAGGCACGAAAGCGUGGGGAGCAAAC
RNAcentral lists this ribosomal RNA (422 nucleotides) under uncultured bacterium. RNAcentral describes it as "bacterial SSU rRNA". It matches the Rfam family "Bacterial small subunit ribosomal RNA", at positions 359 to 773 of the family's 1533-position model. The record is from RNAcentral.